Molecule: ribosomal RNA, 253 nt
Filed under: uncultured bacterium
Lineage: Bacteria
Description: partial 16S ribosomal RNA
Rfam family: Bacterial small subunit ribosomal RNA
Source: RNAcentral
UACGUAGGGUGCGAGCGUUAAUCGGAAUUACUGGGCGUAAAGCGUGCGUAGGCGGUUUGCCGUGUCCUGUGUGAAAGCCCCGGGCUCAACCUGGGAAUUGCAUGGGAAACUGGCAGGCUUGAGUGUGGCAGAGGAGGGUGGAAUUCCGCGUGUAGCAGUGAAAUGUGUAGAGAUGCGGAGGAACACCGAUGGCGAAGGCAGCCCUCUGGGCCAACACUGACGCUCAGGCACGAAAGCGUGGGGAGCAAACGGG